RNAcentral lists this ribosomal RNA (221 nucleotides) under Solenopsis sp. 11 GR-2021. RNAcentral describes it as "partial large subunit ribosomal RNA". Lineage: Eukaryota; Metazoa; Arthropoda; Insecta; Hymenoptera; Formicidae. The record is from RNAcentral.
GAAUUUUAUAUCGUUUUAUUAUAUGAUAUAUAUAUAUUUAUAAAUUUAUUAAUAAUAAGUUAGAUAUUUAAUUGGGAGGAUUGUUAAAUUAAAAGAACUUUAAUUAGAAUAAAAUAUAAAUUAAUAGAUUAAAGAGUGGCUUUUAAGUUAAAAAAGAAUUAAUUACCUUAGGGAUAACAGCGUAAUAUUUUUAGAGAGUUCUUAUUAAUAAAAAUGAUUGC